CCUGUGUUACUUCUGUUUCCUAUUGCCUAGUACUGAAUGGUGGCCUUACUAAGCCAUUCAUUGCUAGGAGAGGUAUUAGGCAAGGUGAUCCCAUGUCUUCUUAUUUGUUUGUUCUUGGUAUGGAGUAUCUGAAUGGAACACUGGGACAUUUGCACAAAAUUGGAGAUUUUAACUUUCAUCCCAAAUGCAGGAAGCUAAACUGUGUACAUGUUUGCUUUGCUGAUGACCUUCUUAUGUUCUGUCGAGCUG
RNAcentral lists this long non-coding RNA (249 nucleotides) under Nicotiana benthamiana. RNAcentral describes it as "long non-coding RNA (NBEN_LNC016686)". Lineage: Eukaryota; Viridiplantae; Streptophyta; Magnoliopsida; Solanales; Solanaceae. The record is from RNAcentral.